AUUAGCUUAAAACCAGGUGAGGAGUGAGAGCUUAAGAUUUGCAGUUACAAGCAAUCGUUCAAUAGUUUAUCAAGAAGUCAUAAAAGCAGUCCAUCACUCUGACAAUCCUGGCACCAUGUGUGUGAAAGACCAAAUUCCACAGCACUGGAAUGUGCCCCAGGAAAGGACAAGCUACUUGCUUUAAGCCUCUUCUCUCAGCUGGGGAUAGAUCCACUCUUCCUGCUUAUGCCACUGUCAAGGCUGAACAGGGCAAGACAAACAUGAGGAAUAAAAAAAAACAACAGGCAGACUUUCAUCCCAUAAAAUAAAAAGCCUCAAUAUUUAUGGUGGGAUGGGAGACGUCACCAAGAAGGGGAAAGAUGGAAUAAUAUUGGCAAACAGUCAAGCAAGUGAUACUUUCCCACUUCUGCACUGCAGGAUGAGGAGGACUCAGUGACAUUUCUAGCAAGUCUGACCUAUUUGUCAUCUGUGUAGAAAGAGUUUGCGUCAGCCUUUGUAACAUGAACAAACAUCUCAGGGGUGACACAGGGGUUUGUUUACACACACAGGUGCCAAUUAACAGCAGCUGAAGCUGGGCUUCCAUUACAGUGAGGAAACCUCUUCUCCACACCUACUAAUGCUCCUGCCAUGGCUGGGUAGGGCUGAAUACACCUGCAGUUAUACAAAUGAGGAACUGUAGAACCUGUACUGUUGAUCUUCAGAGCUGGCAGAUGUUCCCAAAGUCACCCUGCUUAUAUGCUCAGAAACAGAUUUAAAUCCAUUUCACUCACGUUGACAAUUCAAAAUUACAUUUCCCCCAUGCCCAUUCCCCACCUCCCUACCCCCGCCAAAAUCAAAUAAUCUAAUUGUAGCAGCAGGCUGCAGCCUCUGUGGUCCCCUGCCCUCUAACCUGGCUUUUCACGCCCAUAUCAGCUGCCAGCACCAGUGUCAUGACCUGGAUUCAAAGAUGCUUUUUAAACCCCUGAUUACAUGGCCUACUUCCUGGCAAUGGAAAUGAGGCCAGGUGGAUUCUAUUUUAAAAGCCUGCUAAAGACCAUGGCUAAAAUAGCUGACAAUAUUACCAGACCACUGGGGCUUAAAGGGUUUCACAGUGCCUCUGUGUCUGAGAGAUGUGCUGGUUUUAUCUCUGUGGUUUAUGUUUCAUUUGCUAAUAGGAUUUUAGGAACCUUACUGGUGUCAUGCCUCUCCCCUUCUCAUUCCCUGGCAGUUCCUCCCUCGAUGUUUGUGGGGAAUCUCUAACCUUUUUACAGACCAGAUUGCCACUAACAUGGCAAUCCUCCACCACCCUGCUCCAAAGAAGCUACAAGCAAUUUCCAAGUACCCCUAAAAUUACAGCAAAUUGAGGAUGGAUGCUCAGUGAGAACAAGGUCAGCAGGACUCCCACAAAACUCUUCCCCACAGCAGCUGCAUUUGAAGCAUAAGGACAUAUUUCUGCUUCCAAGCACCUGCCCACACCAGAGCUGAAGGAUUAGCUGGGUUUUACCUCCUAAACACAAAUAAUGCUUCCUAUUAAAGGAUUUGCUGGACUAGACUAUGAGACUGACACAUAGUAUUUGAUCCACUGCAGAGCUAACUGUGCCAGCAGCCUCUGAAGUUGGUGAAGAAGUGAAGGUGGUAGGUACAAGAAAAGCUGUUCUGGAUCUACCAGAAUGAAAAUGAAAGUGCCAAGUACUCAGCUUGAAAUGGAAAGUGGAAGAUACUGUUAGCCUGCAUUUUUCACCUGUGGAAGAGGAUGAAAUUCUAUCAAAGCAGAACAACCCCUUUCUUGGUCUGUAGUGUUAUCCCGAAACAUUCACCUACUUAUGAUAUUGCAGGAGAAACAACUAACUCAUGUUUGAGGUAGGGAGAAUGACAGCUCAGAAAGUGCUGUGGUAACAUGUCCGUGGAUCCAGGGUAGCUGUCUUGGUGUUUGCUGUAACUUGUUCCAGGAAGCAGGGAUCACACUGGGACUGGGACUCUUCCAUGGAUGAUGGUGAUUUCCACCUCUGAACCUGUGCCAGCAUGGAGGUAAGUGCAGAAGCAGCUGACAAGCCAAGCACUGGCUUCUUGGAAGAGCAGCUGGAGUGAAAUGGGUUGGAAAAGGGUUUAAGGGCCGUUUCUGUGGGAAUGGACUGACAAUCCUGCUGCUUAAUUUGUGUAAAAAGAAACCAAAGCCUCCAGGUGUCUCAUUUUUCAGCAGAGUUCAAUUCCUAAAAUACAGCCAGCGUGCCCAUGCCCCAAAGUCAAGAACAUGACUUGUAGGCACAGCCAGAGACUGACUGUCUUCAGCAAAGCAAGGACCAUCAGUUUGGAGACAGAAGCACACUUCAGCAGAGGAAAUUGCGGCCUUUUCACACCUGAACUUCAAAACAUCUUUGUGGGGGAAUGAACACCUGUGGGAGUAGUGGUUUUCCAGGUCUGUCUCCUUACAAGGAAUUUGGAAUCACUGAGUUGAGGUAGGUUGCAGCCCUGUUGAUCUUUAGGCUCUCAUCAGUUGCAGUCCAUGUGGCAAACUGCUACAAAACUUUGUAUCCAUUAGCCUGAGGGUAAUUUGAGGGGCAGAUGAUAAGUUUUGGAUGACAAUUUGUAAGUUUAUUUUGAUACUUUGAAGGAGAAAAAUAAAAUCAGAAUGAGUGGUAGCAAUAUUGUUCAUGGUAGAAUUUGGUUCCUAGGCUGUGCUCUCCCUAUAGGCCCCGAAAUGGGCAGCACUGGGAGCAUGGGAAACUUCUGCUGCAUCAAGAGGGGACACCUGUUGUCGCUUUCUUUCUGUUUCUUGUUCUUCCCUGCUCAUGUAAAUGAGCAAUGGCUACUGGAAAUGAUGGUGAGAGCUGGAAGACAGCCUUCUGCCUCUUCAGUGACAUUUUCUCUUAGAAAACAAAUAUAUGAAAUGAAAUUCAAAAUCCAUCAUGCUAAAAUGCUGUAGACAACUUGCUAAAUCUUCAUUCAGGCAAUUCCUGUGAGCUCUUCUGUCAUUUGAUAGUUGUAUGGCUCUGUUACAGAAAACUUUUUGAUGUUCUGUAGAGAUUUCUAGUGCCCUUGGCAUUUCAGAGGAGAUAUUUGUGUACCCGCUACUUGCUUCCCCUUCUGGGAGAUGAACAUCACAGCCUGCCCACAUUCCCCAAGAGGCUUCACUUACUGAUGAGUGCUGUUACUGUAACAGCUGAAGUCAGCACAAUUCUGAAGUAAUGUCAUGAAUCAUAAAAUAAGCACCUCUUCUCUUUGCCAAUGCAAGCUCUGGGGUUUUCUGCCUCUUUCUAGAACUGCCAGUGCUCCCUGACUCUGCACAGGUGAGAGGCACAACAUAAGAAUCUUAGACAAAGCUUGGCCUUUCAGCCUUCUUAACCUUAGUAUGCAUUUAAUGCUAUUAACAGUAACAUCCUUCUUAAAUAUUUAAUGCACUUCCUGGAAGCUUUUCUUUUCUGAUUUCAUACCUGUUUAUCCAGCCAUCCUUUCUGCCACUGGAAGCAAAUAUUCCCCACCAAGCAAACCUUGCGCCUGUGCCACAUCCCUUUAGCAGCAGUGUUCCCUCUGCAGCCUGCACUCACAGCUGGCUGCCAGGAUCCCCCUUGCAGCUGAUCCUCACAGAGCCCAGAGGUGAAAGGCCCUUACAAAUUCAACCUGGAGCUGAAAGGCAAAGCAGACUUCCUCUGGACAGUCUUUCCUCUGCAGUGAAGACAAGCACAUCGGCCAGGAUUUCUGGUGGAGCUGCAUUAGCCAGGACAUGGACUAAGGAGAAGCUGCAUCUUCCAGCUUAACUAAAACAAAACACAGCCCUACCUCCGUUUAGCUACAAAUGCCAGCAGGAGCCUUCACCAUCCUCAAGUGCUUCACUGCUUUUGAGCUUAAAUUUCUUUUCCCUGAACUUUGAGUUAAUCAGUAGAAAUGUUGAUGUUUUCUGUAUUUCACAAAAGUGUUUUCCAACAAUUACUGCUUCCAAAAAGGUGUUUUUUUACAUGUUGACAUAAAAAAUGUGUUUUCUUUUUCUUGUUCCCUUGGCUGCAGUUAGUUAGUUCAUGUGGGAUUACAAUGGUAGCACAGUAGGAUUUUGUUUGUCUUUUCCUUGAAUGAAAUUUUGUUGAAAGUGUAAACUGUAAAAGGCAUUGAAAUUAGACAAAAAUAAAAUCAAUUUUUUAAAUGAAAA
Taeniopygia guttata (zebra finch) is the source of this 4120-nucleotide non-coding RNA. The record is from RefSeq and is a predicted model, not a curated record. NCBI's taxonomy places the organism in Eukaryota, Metazoa, Chordata, Aves, Passeriformes, Estrildidae.